This 34-nucleotide ribosomal RNA is filed under the name [Graphium] euwallaceae. RNAcentral's name for it is "Graphium euwallaceae partial 18S ribosomal RNA". Lineage: Eukaryota; Fungi; Ascomycota; Sordariomycetes; Microascales; Graphiaceae. The record is from RNAcentral.
GUCUCCGUUGGUGAACCAGCGGAGGGAUCAUUAC